CAGCCGCCGCGGUAAUACGAAGGGUGCAAGCGUUAAUCGGAAUUACUGGGCGUAAAGCGUACGUAGGCGGUUUGUUAAGUCUGUUGUGAAAUCCCCGGGCUCAACCUGGGAAUGGCAAUGGAUACUGGCAAGCUAGAGUGUGUCAGAGGAUGGUGGAAUUCCCGGUGUAGCGGUGAAAUGCGUAGAGAUCGGGAGGAACAUCAGUGGCGAAGGCGGCCAUCUGGGACAACACUGACGCUGAGGCACGAAAGCGUGGGGAGCAAACAGGAUUAGAUACCCGGGUAGUCCCUGUCUCUUAUAC
RNAcentral lists this ribosomal RNA (301 nucleotides) under uncultured bacterium. Its description in RNAcentral is "partial 16S ribosomal RNA". It matches the Rfam family "Bacterial small subunit ribosomal RNA", at positions 509 to 807 of the family's 1533-position model. The record is from RNAcentral.